CUAUUUCUACUUCUCCUGCUACUUUAUCUCUUUCUUUGUCGUGCUCCUUUUUUUUUGUCUUUCCUGCUCUAUUCUCUGUUCUUCUACUCCCUUUUUCUUUUGUUCUUCUUUCUUUCUUUUCUUUCUGUUCUUCCUCCCAUUUCUUUUGUUCUUCUUCUCCUCUCUUCUUCUGUUCUUCUUCUUCCUUGCCUUUUUUUCUUUCCUCCCCCUCUCUCCAAUUGGCUAUCCUUCUUUUUAUUCUCUUUUGAUUCCAUUUUUUUUUCUCCUUCAAAUUUUUUCUCCGCUUCCACCCUUUUCUUUUUUUCUUCCUAUUUUUUGUCGAAGCGAGCUUCCCGGCAAACUUGCCUUGUCACGCCCCG
RNAcentral lists this long non-coding RNA (359 nucleotides) under Ananas comosus (pineapple). RNAcentral describes it as "long non-coding RNA (ACOM_LNC030640)". Lineage: Eukaryota; Viridiplantae; Streptophyta; Magnoliopsida; Poales; Bromeliaceae. The record is from RNAcentral.